GGGGUGAAAAGCUCUAAUCUGACUUCUAAUCAGAAUAAGGGGUGGGUAGCGUCACCCUCACCUCU
This 65-nucleotide transfer RNA is filed under the name Bovicola bovis (cattle chewing louse). RNAcentral describes it as "tRNA-Ser". Lineage: Eukaryota; Metazoa; Arthropoda; Insecta; Psocodea; Bovicoliidae. The record is from RNAcentral.